AUGGAGCCGGGGACCCAUCCUCCCUGCGCGGCCUGCGGGGACGACGCGCACGCCGCCUGCCGCGCCUGCAGCUACGCGCUCUGCAAGGCGUGCCUCGACGAGGACGUCGCCGAGGGCCGCGCCGCCUGCGCGCGCUGCGGCGGGGAGUACGCCGUCUCCGACCCAGCGAAUGGCAAGGGGAGCGCCGCGGAGGAGGAGGAGGCGGCGGUGGAGGACCAGCUCGUCGCCGAGGGCCUGCGUGGGCGGGCCACAAUGGCGAACCAACUCAGCGAUCGCCAGGAUGUAGUAAGUCAUGCCAGGACCCUGAGCAGCAUGUCUGGAGUUGGGAGUGAGUUGAAUGACGAAUCCGGGAAGCCCAUCUGGAAGAACAGGGUUGACAGUUGGAAGGAGAAGAAGAAUGAGAAGAAAGCCUCAGCGAAAAAGGCUGCGGCUAAAGCACAAGUUCCGCCUGUGGAAGAACAGAUCAUGGAAGAAAAGGAUUUGACAGAUGCGUAUGAGCCACUUUCCCGGAUCAUCCCUAUAUCGAAGAACAAGCUCACACCUUACAGGGCAGUCAUCAUUAUGCGGCUAGUUGUUCUCGGGCUCUUCUUCCACUACCGUAUCACCAACCCUGUCGACAGCGCCUUUGGUCUCUGGCUGACUUCAGUCAUAUGUGAGAUCUGGUUCGGUUUCUCCUGGAUCCUGGAUCAAUUUCCCAAGUGGUGUCCUGUCAACCGAGAGACUUACGUUGAUAGGCUGAUUGCACGAUAUGGAGAUGGAGAAGAUUCUGGGUUAGCACCUGUGGAUUUCUUUGUCAGUACAGUGGAUCCAUUGAAAGAGCCUCCGCUAAUCACUGCGAACACUGUGCUGUCCAUUCUUGCGGUGGACUAUCCUGUUGAGAAAAUUUCGUGCUACGUCUCUGACGAUGGAGCUGCCAUGCUCACGUUUGAAUCACUUGCUGAAACUGCGGAAUUUGCAAGGAGAUGGGUUCCAUUUUGCAAGAAGUUCUCCAUUGAGCCACGAACUCCUGAGUUCUACUUCUCACAGAAGAUUGACUACUUGAAGGACAAAAUACACCCGUCUUUCGUCAAGGAGCGUAGGGCUAUGAAGAGAGAUUAUGAAGAGUUCAAGGUGAGGAUAAAUGCUUUGGUUGCCAAGGCUCAGAAGACACCUGAGGAAGGCUGGGUCAUGCAGGAUGGGACACCAUGGCCUGGGAACAACUCUCGUGACCACCCCGGCAUGAUUCAGGUUUUCCUUGGUGAGACCGGUGCUCGCGAUUACGAUGGAAAUGAGCUUCCUCGGCUAGUAUAUGUUUCAAGAGAGAAAAGACCAGGGUACCAACACCACAAGAAGGCAGGGGCUAUGAACGCUCUGGUCCGAGUGUCUGCUGUUCUGACAAAUGCUCCCUACAUUCUUAACCUUGACUGUGAUCACUAUGUUAACAACAGCAAAGCUGUGCGUGAAGCAAUGUGCUUCAUGAUGGACCCUUCCGUUGGUAGAGAUGUCUGCUAUGUCCAGUUCCCACAGAGAUUCGAUGGGAUUGAUCGCAGUGAUCGUUAUGCCAAUAGGAACGUCGUGUUCUUUGAUGUUAACAUGAAAGGGCUUGAUGGCAUCCAAGGGCCGGUUUAUGUGGGAACUGGUUGUUGUUUCUAUAGGCAAGCACUCUACGGUUAUGGGCCACCAUCUCUGCCUGCCCUUCCAAAAUCGUCGGCUUGUUCAUUCUGCUGCUGCUGCUGUCCUAAGAAAAAGGUUGAAAAAACUGAGAAGGAAAUGCACAGAGACUCCAGACGAGAGGACCUUGAAUCUGCCAUUUUCAAUCUACGGGAAAUCGACAACUACGACGAGUAUGAGCGGUCCAUGCUUAUCUCCCAGAUGAGCUUCGAGAAGUCGUUUGGGCAGUCUUCGGUAUUCAUUGAAUCAACUCUUAUGGAGAAUGGGGGUGUUCCUGAGUCUGUAGACCCUUCUACACUGAUUAAAGAAGCCAUUCAUGUCAUUAGCUGUGGAUAUGAAGAGAAAACUGAAUGGGGAAAAGAGCUUGGUUGGAUCUAUGGUUCAGUUACAGAGGAUAUUCUGACUGGGUUUAAGAUGCAUUGCCGUGGGUGGCGAUCAAUCUACUGCAUGCCGAUAAGACCCGCAUUCAAGGGAUCAGCCCCAAUCAACCUUUCCGAUCGUUUGCACCAGGUUCUUCGGUGGGCUCUCGGUUCUGUUGAGAUCUUCUUCAGCCGGCAUUGCCCGCUGUGGUACGGCUACGGUGGUGGCCGUCUGAGGUGGCUCCAGAGGCUGUCCUACAUCAACACCAUCGUCUACCCCUUCACCUCUGUCCCUCUCGUCGCAUACUGCUGCCUGCCUGCCAUUUGCUUGCUCACUGGCAAAUUCAUCAUUCCAAUCCUCUCCAAUGCCGCAACAAUAUGGUUUCUUGGUCUCUUCACCUCCAUCAUCCUGACGAGUGUCCUGGAGCUGCGGUGGAGCGGCAUUGGCAUUGAGGACUGGUGGCGCAACGAGCAGUUCUGGGUCAUCGGUGGCGUGUCUGCUCAUCUCUUUGCCGUGUUCCAGGGUAUCCUCAAGAUGGUGAUCGGGCUGGACACCAACUUCACGGUCACGAGCAAGGCCGCGGAGGACGGCGAUUUCGCUGAGCUGUAUGUGUUCAAGUGGACGACGGUGCUGAUCCCGCCCACGACGAUCCUGGUUCUCAACCUCGUCGGCGUGGUGGCCGGGUUCUCGGACGCGCUCAACAGCGGCUACGAGUCAUGGGGGCCGCUCUUCGGCAAGGUGUUCUUCGCCAUGUGGGUGAUUAUGCACUUGUACCCGUUCCUCAAGGGUCUCAUGGGCCGCCAGAACCGGACUCCCACCAUCGUCAUACUCUGGUCCGUCCUGCUGGCCUCGGUCUUCUCCCUCCUCUGGGUCAAGAUCGAUCCCUUUAUCACCGGUGCCGAGACCGUCGCCACCGGAGCCUGCAGCAGCAUCGACUGCUGA
Molecule: ribosomal RNA, 2952 nt
Filed under: Triticum aestivum (bread wheat)
Lineage: Eukaryota; Viridiplantae; Streptophyta; Magnoliopsida; Poales; Poaceae
Description: partial small subunit ribosomal RNA
Source: RNAcentral